Molecule: transfer RNA, 67 nt
Filed under: Parapterois heterurus (blackfoot lionfish)
Lineage: Eukaryota; Metazoa; Chordata; Actinopteri; Perciformes; Scorpaenidae
Description: tRNA-Cys
Rfam family: tRNA
About the family: Transfer RNA (tRNA) molecules are approximately 80 nucleotides in length. Their secondary structure includes four short double-helical elements and three loops (D, anti-codon, and T loops).
Source: RNAcentral
AGCCCUGAGGUGUAUAACAUAUCAGAUUGCAAAUCUGAAGAAGCAGGCUAGUCGUCUGCCGGGGCUU